CAGUUUAAAAAAAAAACUUUCCGUUGACAGAUAUUGAAAGAUGGGAGGAACUGUGACACUACAACUUAUUCUAGUCAUUGAUCCUUCUCAUAACAGAUGCAAUCCUGUCCACCUCCAUCAACGAGGCCUCACAAGAAAUGACGGAGAGCAGAAGGGAAGACCAAGAGAGAAAAGUGGAUCUCUACUGCUCGGAAAUCAUCCUACAACCAAUACAGCUCCAAGGGCCACAAACGCCAACAACUCCAGAGAGGACGAGGAGGAAACUGCGACACCAUCAGUGGAAGAGGAAAGUUCACCACUCUGUUCUAGUGUGUGUCAAACCUAAGGGAACGAAACCAAAGCUCAUUAUCCUUUUCCCAUCUGGCCUCUGUUUAUAUUUCCAUUUUAGCUGCCCAACACAGAAAUCGAGGUAUCAUCCUAUCCCAUCCAUGGCUGUGUUGCCAACUUUUCCUUCUUUCAUUUGCAAAUAAAAGCUCUCCCAUGCCUCCACCAUCACUGCCCUCGUCACCUGAGGCACCUCAUCACCUCGCCUUCCUGCUAGGCUCCCAGCCUCUGGUCUAGUUCCUUUUGACCUUCUCUACUCUCAUCUUUCAUAGAAAAAUCUGACAUCAACUCAUACACGCUACUCCACCAUGCAACUUCCCCGAUGGAUAAAGCCAAAGAUCCUUUGUGCAGCUCACGAGGCCCUUCACUAGCAUUCCCAAUUCUCUGCCAUCUAUUUUUUCACGCUUGGUUUCCCCAGCUAUCACGGGGCUCCACUGGGCUGGAAUGGUUGAUAUCUAGCACGGCAACCGAUAUCUGGUCGGGAAUUUCGGAAGGACUCAUUAAAUGAGCAGUAGACGUUCACGAUGGCCUGUCCAGCCUCGCCUCUCACCUGAACCGCCUUGCCUCAUGUCGUGUACUCAGCGGUAUCAGUAUUGCAAUAAAGCUUCCCAAACAUGCAUUACUCUGAGCUUUUAAACAGGUCACAGAUCAACUCAACCUGAGAUACCUUGGUUCUUUCUGCUUCUAAAUCUGAGAAAUUCCUCCUGAGGUGCUAAGUUGGGGAGUCCAGUGCUCCCUGGGUGAAUUCUCCCCAGGACUUCAUGUGUAGACCAGCGUGCUCCCUGUCUCUCUGUCCGCUGUGGUUCCAUCAGCCCCAACACGCCUGGGACCCUGUUGUGCUGUCCUGCUGAUCCACAGCAGGUCUGGCCCCUGACCCUAACUCUAACCCAGACCAUGACUUUCACCUUUGAGCCCCAAGAUGAGCAAGACUCCUGACACAAAACAGGAACCUACAUGUUCACAAAAUAAAGGAAAAAAUAAAUAAAACAAAGAUAUCAACCAUAAUAGCUAACACUAUGCCCUGCUUACCAUAUACUAGUCCAGAGCCAAAGGAUGGAACGAUAUAUAACUCAUUUA
Long non-coding RNA from Fukomys damarensis (Damara mole-rat), 1401 nucleotides. NCBI's taxonomy places the organism in Eukaryota, Metazoa, Chordata, Mammalia, Rodentia, Bathyergidae. The record is from Ensembl.